CGAAAGCCUGACGGAGCAAUACCGCGUGAGGGAAGAAGGCUCUUGGGUUGUAAACCUCUUUUCUUAGGGAAGAAAAAAAUGACGGUACCUAAGGAAUAAGCAUCGGCUAACUCCGUGCCAGCAGCCGCGGUAAUACGGAGGAUGCAAGCGUUAUCCGGAAUGAUUGGGCGUAAAGCGUCCGCAGGUGGCAAUUCAAGUUUGCGGUUAAAGGUUCUGGCUCAACCAGGGAUAGGCCGUGAAAACUGAAUAGCUAGAGUAUGGUAGGGGCAGAGGGAAUUCCCAGUGUAGCGGUGAAAUGCGUAGAGAUUGGGAAGAACACCGGUGGCGAAAGCGCUCUGCUAGGCCAAAACUGACACUGAGGGACGAAAGC
RNAcentral lists this ribosomal RNA (370 nucleotides) under uncultured cyanobacterium. RNAcentral describes it as "bacterial SSU rRNA". It matches the Rfam family "Bacterial small subunit ribosomal RNA", at positions 376 to 760 of the family's 1533-position model. The record is from RNAcentral. Lineage: Bacteria; Bacillati; Cyanobacteriota.